Molecule: unclassified non-coding RNA, 374 nt
Filed under: uncultured soil eukaryote
Lineage: Eukaryota
Description: sequence contains 5.8S rRNA gene, ITS2, 28S rRNA gene
Source: RNAcentral
AACGCACAUUGCGCUUCCUGGUAUUCUGGGGAGCAUGCCCGUUUGAGAAUCAAUAAUUCCUCUCACCUGCAAAGGUGGACUUGGAGGGACUGUGUUUAUGGAUGUGAACACGGCCCACUUAAAACCAUUGAUGGACAGCUUUACCUGGUUUGGACACGAGGAUUCCUGCUGUGAACGCAUGAAUGGAGCCGUGGGUUUCAAAGUAAUACGUUCGCCUUUGCAUGCAAGAUUCUUUGUUCAUAAGACAAGGGGCACUUUUCAAAGUGUCGAGCCAUCCCCAAAACCAAUGACGUGGCCGGCUGUCUUUGACGGCGGAUCAUCGGUCACCCAUUGAACUUGGUCUCAAAUCGGGUAGGAAAACCCGCUGAACUUAA